AGAGUUUGAUCCUGGCUCAGAUUGAACGCUGGCGGCAUGGCUAAAACAUGCAAGUUGAACGACCUCUUCGGAGGGAGUGGCGAAAGGGCGAGGAAUAUAAUCGAAUGUGUCCUAAGGUUGUGGAUAGCUUCUGGAAACGGAAGGUAAUACACAAUGUACUCUACGGAGAAAAGGUUUACCGCCUUUGGAGCAGCGAUUAUCCUAUCAGGUAGUUGGUGAGGUAAAGGCUCACCAAGCCGAAGACGGGUAGCGGGUGUGAGAGCAUGACCCGCCGCAUCGGGACUGAGACACUGCCCGGACUCCUACGGGAGGCUGCAGUAACGAAUCUUCCGCAAUGGGCGAAAGCCUGACGGAGCAAUGCCGCGUGUGGGAUUAAGCAUCUUCGAUGUGUAAACCACUGUCAGAAUCUAGAAAUACUGAUCAGAUUCAGAGGAAGGACCGGCUAAUUCAGUGCCAGCAGCCGCGGUAAUACUGAAGGUCCAAGCGUUAUUCGGAAUCACUGGGCUUAAAGCGUACGCAGGCGGAUUUGUAGGUAUCUUGUGAAAUCCCACGGCUCAACCGUGGAACUGCAGGGUAAACCACAAAUCUUGAGACAAGUAGGGGUUAGUGGAACGAUAUGUGGAGCGGUGAAAUGCGUAGAUAUAUAUCGGAACGCCAAUGGCGAAGGCAGCUAACUGGGCUUUGUCUGACGCUCAGGUACGAAAGCGUGGGUAGCGAACGGGAUUAGAUACCCCGGUAGUCCACGCCGUAAACGAUGCACACUAGGUCGCGGUACCUCUCAUGGUUUCGCGGCCGAAGGUAAACUGAUAAGUGUGCCGCCUGGGGAGUACGGUCGCAAGGCUAAAACUCAAAGGAAUUGACGGGGGCUCACACAAGCGGUGGAGCAUGUUGCUUAAUUCGAGGCAACGCGAAGAACCUUACCUAGGCUUGACAUGUAUGGAUUAGCAUUAUGAAAGUUUUGUAACGCCCUUGGGUGGAACAUACACAGGUGCUGCAUGGCUGUCGUCAGCUCGUGCUGUGAAGUGUCGGGUUAAGUCCCUUAACGAGCGCAACCCCUAUCGUUAGUUACUAACGCGUUAUGGCGAGGACUCUAGCGAGACUGCCGGUGUCAAACCGGAGGAAGGUGGGGAUGACGUCAAGUCAGCAUGGCCCUUAUGCCUAGGGAUGCAAACGUGCUACAAUGGCACGGACAAAGCGAUGCAAUACCGCGAGGUGGAGCAAAUCGCAAAAACCGUGCCCCAGUUCGGAUAGCAGGCUGAAAUUCGCCUGCUUGAAGCCGGAAUCGCUAGUAAUCGCGUAUCAGCUACGACGCGGUGAAUACGUUCCUGAGCCUUGUACACACCGCCCGUCAAGUCAUGGAAGCUGUUAGUGCCCGAAGUCACCUCGUUUCAGGGGUGCCUACGGCAAGAAUGGUGACUGGGAACUAAGUCGUAACAAGGUAGCCG
This 1445-nucleotide ribosomal RNA is filed under the name uncultured prokaryote. RNAcentral's name for it is "partial 16S ribosomal RNA". It matches the Rfam family "Bacterial small subunit ribosomal RNA". The record is from RNAcentral.